RNAcentral lists this ribosomal RNA (209 nucleotides) under Pycnococcus provasolii. Its description in RNAcentral is "partial Bacterial large subunit ribosomal RNA". It matches the Rfam family "Bacterial large subunit ribosomal RNA", at positions 490 to 693 of the family's 2925-position model. Lineage: Eukaryota; Viridiplantae; Chlorophyta; Pseudoscourfieldiophyceae; Pseudoscourfieldiales; Pycnococcaceae. The record is from RNAcentral.
GUGAACUAGUACCGCGAGGGAAAGGUGAAAAGCACCCCUGUUAGGGGAGUGAAAUAGUAACUGAAAUCAAUUGCUAACAAGUCAGUGGGAGCUCCCUUUAUUGUGGGGUGACCGCCUGCCUUUUGUAUAAUGAGUCUGCGAGUUAUUGCCCGUAGCAAGCUUAAGCCGGUUCCCGGCGAAAGCGCAGCGAAAGCAAGUCCAAAUAGGGC